ACGGGAGGCAGCAGUGAGGAAUAUUGGUCAAUGGGCGGAAGCCUGAACCAGCCAAGUCGCGUGAAGGAUGAAGGUAUUAUGUAUUGUAAACUUCUUUAGCUGUGGAGCAAUAAUCUCCAUGUAUGGAGAAAUGAGAGUACACAGAGAAUAAGGAUCGGCUAACUCCGUGCCAGCAGCCGCGGUAAUACGGAGGAUCCGAGCGUUAUCCGGAUUUAUUGGGUUUAAAGGGUGCGCAGGCGGCUUUCUAAGUCAGUGGUCAAAUCGUGGUGCUCAACGCCAUCCCGCCAUUGAUACUGGAGAGCUUGAUUGCGGUCGAGGUUUGCGGAAUUCGUCGUGUAGCGGUGAAAUGCAUAGAUAUGACGAAGAACACCGAUUGCGUAGGCAGCAGACCAGGCCGUAAAUGACGCUCAUGCACGAAAGUGCGGGGAUCGAACAGGAUUAGAUACCCUGGUA
RNAcentral lists this ribosomal RNA (453 nucleotides) under uncultured Porphyromonadaceae bacterium. RNAcentral describes it as "partial 16S ribosomal RNA". It matches the Rfam family "Bacterial small subunit ribosomal RNA", at positions 341 to 792 of the family's 1533-position model. The record is from RNAcentral. Lineage: Bacteria; Pseudomonadati; Bacteroidota; Bacteroidia; Bacteroidales; Porphyromonadaceae.